CACGUAGGGGCGAGCGUUAUCCGGAAUUAUUGGGCGUAAAGAGCGCGCAGGUGGUUGAUUAAGUCUGAUGUGAAAGCCCACGGCUUAACCGUGGAGGGUCAUUGGAAACUGGUCGACUUGAGUGCAGAAGAGGGAAGUGGAAUUCCAUGUGUAGCGGUGAAAUGCGUAGAUAUUCGGAGGAACACCAGUGGCGAAGGCGGCUUACUGGGCUUUAACUGACGCUGAGGCACGAAAGCAUGGGUAGCAAACAGGAUUAGAUACCCCCGGUAGU
RNAcentral lists this ribosomal RNA (271 nucleotides) under uncultured prokaryote. RNAcentral describes it as "partial 16S ribosomal RNA". It matches the Rfam family "Bacterial small subunit ribosomal RNA", at positions 524 to 794 of the family's 1533-position model. The record is from RNAcentral.